RNAcentral lists this transfer RNA (90 nucleotides) under Candidatus Yanofskybacteria bacterium RIFCSPHIGHO2_01_FULL_44_110b. RNAcentral describes it as "tRNA-Ser". It matches the Rfam family "tRNA". Rfam says of the family: Transfer RNA (tRNA) molecules are approximately 80 nucleotides in length. Lineage: Bacteria; Candidatus Yanofskyibacteriota. The record is from RNAcentral. RNAcentral also lists the same sequence under 5 other names.
GGUGAGAUGGCUGAGUGGUCUAAAGCACCACGUUGGAAACGUGGCGUAGGGGAAACUCUACCGUGAGUUCGAAUCUCACUCUCACCGCCU